This 209-nucleotide ribosomal RNA is filed under the name uncultured bacterium. Its description in RNAcentral is "partial 16S ribosomal RNA". It matches the Rfam family "Bacterial small subunit ribosomal RNA", at positions 568 to 775 of the family's 1533-position model. The record is from RNAcentral.
CGCGUAGGCGGUAGGAUAAGUCGGAUGUGAAAUUCCGGGGCUCAACCCCGGAGCUGCAUUUGAAACUGUCUUGCUAGAGUUCAGUUAGGGUAAACGGAAUUCCACGUGUAGCGGUGAAAUGCGUAGAUAUGUGGAAGAACACCGGUGGUGAAGACGGUUUACUGGGCUGAUACUGACGCUGAGGCGCGAAAGCAUGGGGAAGCAAACAG